GGAAGUGAGGGCGAUCUGGCUGUGACAUUUGUCACCCCACUGAUCGCCAGGGUUGAUUCAGCUGAUCUGGCUGGCUAGACAGGUGUCCCUGUCCUCCCUCACCGCUCCAUGUGUGUCCUUCCGGAAGCUGUGUGCUCGGUGGAAGAGGACAGCCUUCCCCAAAUAUAAAUGGACCUGUCUUCGGUUGAGGGUAUAAGAGUAGUUGCAACCCCCUGCUAGAACCUCCAAACAAGCUCUCAAGAAUUCUCCUUCAAAGCAAGGAGUAGGCUCCCAACUGAGGAUGGUGUAGGAAGAAGAGAAGCACCCCAUUUUGUUAACAUUGGGGGUUCCAGAGAGGCCCGGAACCUGUCUGU
Molecule: unclassified non-coding RNA, 353 nt
Organism: Erinaceus europaeus (western European hedgehog)
Lineage: Eukaryota; Metazoa; Chordata; Mammalia; Eulipotyphla; Erinaceidae
Gene: 7SK
Rfam family: 7SK RNA
About the family: 7SK was discovered as an abundant small nuclear RNA in the mid-70s but a possible function has only recently been suggested. Two independent studies have found that 7SK RNA binds the CDK9/cyclin T complex (known as elongation factor P-TEFb).
Source: Ensembl